This 95-nucleotide non-coding RNA is filed under the name Isoptericola dokdonensis. RNAcentral's name for it is "Glycine sequence". It matches the Rfam family "Glycine riboswitch aptamer". Rfam says of the family: This family represents the bacterial glycine riboswitch. Glycine riboswitches usually consist of two metabolite-binding aptamers domains with similar structures in tandem. The record is from RNAcentral. Lineage: Bacteria; Bacillati; Actinomycetota; Actinomycetes; Micrococcales; Promicromonosporaceae. RNAcentral also lists the same sequence under 1 other name.
CGAACCGUGUCGGGAGAGCCUGCCGAGGGAUCGGCAGCGCCGAAGGAGCAAGCCCUCCCCGGGAAUCUCUCAGGCCCCAGUACCGUCACGGCGAG